This is a non-coding RNA of Coffea arabica (coffee), 260 nucleotides long. Lineage: Eukaryota; Viridiplantae; Streptophyta; Magnoliopsida; Gentianales; Rubiaceae. The record is from RefSeq and is a predicted model, not a curated record.
UAGGCACACAAGGAGACCUUCAAGAGGAUCUCACCAUGGACACUUGAACUCCAGCGAAUAAUCUUUAUUAAAUUGCUCGGACUGGAAAUGGAGUUAACGCGGAGAAAUCUCCUUUUGGAUAUAUUGUGUUUUAGGGUUUCAGGUGUAUUUUGGCUUGACCCCUUUAUGAUUGUACUUUGGAAGUUUAAUGUAUCAUUCGGAUAUCUGUGAUGUAUAUUUUGAAAUUUAAGUUGUAUUAUGAACGCACGACGUGCGGGUGG